CUAGGCCUGUCUAAAUUAUUUUUCCAUUCUCUACUUUAUGCUCUGAUACCACUUUAUCUGUCACGUGCCGUAACUGCCCGCCUAUUUGGCCGGGUCGCGGCGCCGCAAACAGACCGCCGAACGGACAGAGUUUCCUCUAUACGUCCUAGGCGUCGCAAUCAAAACAGUGAACGAGUGUUCCAAUUAACCAAGAACUGAUAUCAAUCAAGAUUGCAU
This 216-nucleotide long non-coding RNA is filed under the name Ananas comosus (pineapple). RNAcentral describes it as "long non-coding RNA (ACOM_LNC043987)". Lineage: Eukaryota; Viridiplantae; Streptophyta; Magnoliopsida; Poales; Bromeliaceae. The record is from RNAcentral.